AAAGCCCCGCCCCCCGCGCGUUGCCGGGAGACGGCGCCCAACCUUCCUCUGCAGCGCCCCUACCGACCCGCGCUCCGCAGCUCCUGAGGGCUUUCGAGCCCAGAUGGUCAUCUGAGACGAGAGGUGGCGGCGAAGGAGAGUCUCGCCUGUCACGCUCCCGGAGCAGGGGCUUCAUGAGGUGGCCAUGGAAACAGCCUGGCAGACUCCCAUCUCUCCUGGUGCCAUCUCCGGAGCGGAAAGUGGAGCGCCCCGCUGGCGACCAAGGCCGCACUGAGAGCCCUGGUUUGGUCAACAGUUGGGCUCCAAGGAGCCCUGGUAUUCCUUGAACAUGCAUACCUUUCCCAGCGUGAGGGACAUGGACCGUGCCGUGCGAGGGACCCCAUCUUCUGCAGCAGGAGGGAGCAGAGAAGAGAACACAGGGAUUCCUGUUGCUAAAAGGUCUGUUUUCUCCUGCUAGCCACCCUCAUCAGCCAGAGUUCAAACCCUGACAGUGCCCAUGGAGAGAUCUGGUCCAAGGCACCAACCUCUUCCUGCUGGACUGAGAAAGAGCCUCCUACUGUGUCUCUCUUUACCUCAGCUUUUGCACACCUCCAAUAUAUUGUCCACUGAAGUCAGAAUAAUCUAAAAAUAAAGGCUGAUUACCUCAUGUGGUAUAAACUUAAAAAAAAAAA
This 671-nucleotide long non-coding RNA is filed under the name Homo sapiens (human). RNAcentral describes it as "IRAG1 antisense RNA 1 (IRAG1-AS1)". The record is from RNAcentral. Lineage: Eukaryota; Metazoa; Chordata; Mammalia; Primates; Hominidae.